CACGUGGAGAUUUUGAAAGUGGGUGGCCUCCGCGGCGGCUUCAAAAUGACCUUUCCUCAAUCUGCGGAGCUCGCUUUCCAUCUUCUUUGACUUCUUUGUCAAGUGAAGGACUUCCUUCUUCAGCCGCUGGAUCGUCGACUUCAGCGGGACCCCCAGGGGCAGGGGAAGUGCUUCUGCAGGACACUGCCAUCGGAAGGCAAGGGCAUCAAAGCACGACUCAUCGC
RNAcentral lists this long non-coding RNA (224 nucleotides) under Elaeis guineensis (African oil palm). RNAcentral describes it as "long non-coding RNA (EGUI_LNC058089)". The record is from RNAcentral. Lineage: Eukaryota; Viridiplantae; Streptophyta; Magnoliopsida; Arecales; Arecaceae.